GAUGAAGAACGUAGCGAAAUGCGAUAACUAAUGAGAAUUGCAGAAUUCAGUGAAUCAUCGAGUCUUUGAACGCACAUUGCGCCCCCUGGUAUUCCGGGGGGCAUGCCUGUCCGAGCGUCAUUGCUGCCCUCAAGCACGGCUUGUGUGUUGGGCUCCGUCCCCCCGGGGACGGGUCCGAAAGGCAGCGGCGGCACCGAGUCCGGUCCUCGAGCGUAUGGGGCUUUGUCACCCGCUCUGUAGGCCCGGCCGGCGCCAGCCGACAACCAAUCAUCCUUUUUUCAGGUUGACCUCGGAUCAGGUAGGGAUACCCGCUGAACUUAAGCAUAUCAAUAAGCGGAGGA
Molecule: unclassified non-coding RNA, 341 nt
Filed under: soil metagenome
Description: partial contains 5.8S ribosomal RNA, internal transcribed spacer 2, and large subunit ribosomal RNA
Rfam family: 5.8S ribosomal RNA (bases 1-120)
Source: RNAcentral